Molecule: long non-coding RNA, 796 nt
Filed under: Homo sapiens (human)
Lineage: Eukaryota; Metazoa; Chordata; Mammalia; Primates; Hominidae
Description: non-protein coding lnc-TRIM43-9:2
Source: RNAcentral
CUCCACACUGGUUGGUGACCUGGCUCUGCAGUUCACUCUGCUGCUUCAGAUGAAAAUUUUCAGGUCUGUCUGCCACUGUAGUGAAGGACUGCUUUGGGUAGUGUCUGUGGAGAAACUUUUUAAAGGACAUAGUUAAAAUAUUGUGCUACAAACCAAUUCUUGAACACCAAUCGUUUUGUCCUACCUCUCUGUGACAGUGAAAGAUGGCUGUGCUCUUGGCAAAGGUCAUCUCUCUGUCAUGAUUCUGGAUCUCCUUUUCUUCUCCUGAUUAUCUGUCACUCAGUUAUCCCCACUGUCUUCCACAACUUUAACCUCAGCUUCUCUAUUCUAGGAGACUCUUCUCGCAGGCUCAAGGCUCUCCUACCCUCCAUCAUUCCUCCCUCUACCCCACACAGCCAGCAUGUGUCCAGCUAGUCUAUCCUUCAGCCAAACUUCCUUAGAAAGAGGCCUUACCUCACUGUCCCUACCCAUCUCCUCUCUGACUCACUUCUUAACUCCAUGACUGGGUUCUGGUUUCUUUCCCUUGCCUGUUGUGACUUCCUAUGGACACAGCCAAAAACCAUCACAUAGUCCUGUUGUAUGGCAUCCCCUCCAUCUUGAAAUGUCCUCUCCCUCAGUUCCUAUAUGUUAUCACACAUGCCUGCCUUGGCUUCUCCCUCUAGUUGUUCCUUCUCUGUCUUCUGUGGGCUUCUUAUUGUCUGCUCACUCCUUCUUCAGUGUCCUCACAUGGGCUUCCUUCCCUUCUCAGCUGAUGCCAUCACCUGGGGAAUCACAGUUACUCAGCAGCACUGGGGCC